Molecule: ribosomal RNA, 735 nt
Filed under: uncultured eukaryote
Lineage: Eukaryota
Description: bacterial SSU rRNA
Rfam family: Eukaryotic small subunit ribosomal RNA
Source: RNAcentral
GGGCGUGUGUGCCGUGUCGUGUUUGUCAUCCUUCCAGAGAGCUGCGUCUACCAUUCACUUGGCCGGACGUACGCGAUCUGGAUCGAUUACUUUGAAAAAAUUAGAGUGUUUAAAGCAGGCUUACGCUGUGAAUACAUUAGCAUGGAAUAAUAAUUUAGGACUUCGGUUCUAUUUUGUUGGUUUCUAGGACUGAAGUAAUGAUUGAUAGGGACAGUUGGGGGUGCUAGUAUUCCGCGGCCAGAGGUGAAAUUCUUGGAUUCGCGGAAGACUAACUACUGCGAAAGCGUUCACCAAGGAUGUCUUCUUUAAUCAAGAACGAAAGUUGGGGGAUCGAAGACGAUCAGAUACCGUCGUAGUCUCAACCAUAAACUAUACCGACUAAGGAUCAGUGAACGUUGAUUUACGACUUCAUUGGCACUUUGUGAGAAAUCAAAGUCUUUGGGUUCCGGGGGGAGUAUGGUCGCAAGGCUGAAACUUAAAGGAAUUGACGGAAGGGCACCACCAGGAGUGGAGCCUGCGGCUUAAUUUGACUCAACACGGGGAAACUCACCAGGUCCAGGCAAAAUAAGGAUUGACAGAUUGAGAGCUCUUUCUUGAUCUUUUGGAUGGUGGUGCAUGGCCGUUCUUAGUUGGUGGAGUGAUUUGUCUGCUUAAUUGCGAUAACGAACGAGACCUCGGCCCUUAAAUAGCCCGGUCCGCGUCUGCGGGCCGCUGGCUUCUUAGGGGGACUAUCGG